This 1312-nucleotide long non-coding RNA is filed under the name Sinocyclocheilus grahami. RNAcentral's name for it is "lncRNA (ENSSGRG00000015781.1)". Lineage: Eukaryota; Metazoa; Chordata; Actinopteri; Cypriniformes; Cyprinidae. The record is from RNAcentral.
AUGUUUCAUCUACAGAAUAUCGUUGCCUUCAUAAUAAUCUCUGCCUCUAUUUGUCAGGCUCAAGCUGGUGGUCAACGGGCAUCUUCAGAUACAGCUAAAGUCACAUUACAGCCGUGGCUGGUGGGACUCACAGCAGUUGUUGUUUUUCUCUUUAUUGUCUUCGUCCUCCUCAUCGUGCAAAGACUCUUUUUCAAGAAAAACAAAGAUGAGCUAGAAGAAAGGCAUUCAUUUUAUGAAAACAAAGCAGCGGAUCUGGAGGCAAAUGAGGAGACCAAGCAGACCACUUUCUAAUGAGAAGAACAGAUGAUCACAGUCCUGCAGCACACAAAUCUUUCUCUCUCUGGAAAUUAUGCCACAACUUUGUGCAGACUAAUUAUAAUACUAUCUUAUGUAAUAUAUCUUUUUAACAUUAAUUUUGGUCUAAGUUUUGUUUUUGUCUUCAUAAGUAUUGUUCCUCACAUCAUCCACUAGAUGGAGCAGACUUCACCUAGUCACAGCUUUAAACUAAAGUUAAAAUAAAAAAAGGUUCAAAUAAAGUGGUGCUCUCUCUCUCUCUUUUAAUUAAUUUAGAUUUUUUUUGGCAUAUUCUCAAUACUCGUUUGACUACUUUGCUGUAACUGUAACUUGUGUAAGGUUUAUCAUUAGGGUAGUGAGAACAUUGGAAUAGAAGAGCACACGCUCAGUGAUUCACAUCAUGCACAUAAUGCUCUGAUUUACUGGCUUUUGACUUGCAUGACAUGUCUGGGUUCUGCAUGCAUAUAUGCUAAAUGGACAUGGGUAUGAGAUCCAUUACUCAUUUUGACUGGCAGUUUGGACAUGUUAAAUGCUUCCAGUCAAAUGAUGUAACACAGUUUUGCUUUGAAACCAUUUGCUCGUCUCGGGGGAUUAUAUGAUGAAAAUAUCAUUUGCAGAAAAAAUGGCCAGGUGUUCAAAUGUGUUAAUAAUGGAGACCAUUAUAGUACAGCGUUGAAGUUAAAGUAGACUUUAGUCUGGCGUUGCCUAAAUGAACAAUCUGAUUAGUAAGACUAUUGAGCUGUUAGUGAUGAUGUAACGCAUGCUCUUUAUAUGGGUUAAAGGGGAACGCUUCCAGUUUUACACUCUUAAUGUGAACCUAAGAACUGCUGGUAUUUCAUAACAUUUUAAUUAGACAGAUGAUACUGUUGCCCUGGCUGCAUGUGCUUCUCAAGGUUUCCCAUACAUGGGAAACAGUUUAGCUGAAACAGUGCUGAUGAGUGACAGUAACUAAGCUUACAGUCAGCAGCAAUAAGUGAAGCAUGAAACCAGAGAGAGAGAGAGAGAGAGAGAGAGAGAG